This 4869-nucleotide long non-coding RNA is filed under the name Homo sapiens (human). Its description in RNAcentral is "HSALNT0278578". The record is from RNAcentral. Lineage: Eukaryota; Metazoa; Chordata; Mammalia; Primates; Hominidae.
AGCCCUUGAUCAUGUGGCACAAAGUCUUCACUUCCCUGGGGUGAAGACCCAGUGAAACCCUCAGUGACAACCCCCAGGAGGGUUUUCUUCCGCGUUGACCGAGCUGUCUGUGGGUAACAUUAUGUUAUAUUUGUAUAUUGGUUGCAACUAUCAAUUGGCUGCAGGUACAAGACUUUGGCAAAAAUCAUAAAAGCAUUCUGUGAGAAUCAGUUGAAUAUAUACAUUUUAUAAAACAGAGUAUCAUAUAUUUUAUUAUUAUUUGUAAACUUUGUGUCACAAAUCUUCUAGUGUUAAUAAAUUUUAUAAUAAAAGUAGACGUGUGUAUAUAUGAUAUAUAUGUGUAUAUGCAUUUUUCCCCUGUAGCACACCUCUAAGUCUUCCUCUGCUGAUAAGCAUCAUUUUGUUUCUAUUCUACCAUGGAAUUCCAUUUUACUCAUGCUGGGUUCAAAGGGUAUGUGCAUUUUUAAUUUUAAUAGAUAUUUUCAGAUUGCUUUCAACAGAAGUUAUAAUUCUCAUUUCUAGCAGCAGUGCAUAAGAGUACCCUUUUCUCACACAGCUGCCAACAAUAGAUUUGUAGAUUUAUUUUUUGCCAGUCUGAAAGGCAUAAAGUGGUAUCUUAUUAUUUCAACUGGCUCCCCUCUGCCAUCCCAGGAAGUCUGAAGGUCUUUUCUUAUGUUGGGUGACAUUUGGCUUCCUUCUGUGACUUGCCUCUUGGUUUUUCUGUUUUUCUAUUGGGUUGUUUAUUCCUUCCCUGUCAAUUUGUGCAUGUUCUCUGUAUAUUAAAUUUCAGCCUUACAAGUGGCUCUGUGUUCCAAAUCUCAAUUAUAUAUUGACUUUACAUCAUCUUUUGUCAUACAAAAAUUAAUUUUUGCAUUACCAAAUGUUUAUCAUUCCUUCUAUAGCUCCUGGGUAUCUGGUCUUGGUUAGGAACCUGUCCCUUUGUUGAGAGUGUUGAUAUAACCUUUCAGAAUUUCUUGCUGAAUUUUUAUUGUUCUGUUUAAGCCUUUAAUAUAAAUCUUAUUUUCAUAUAUGGCUAAAACAGGAGUCCAAUUUUAUUUUUUUUCUGGAUAAGUAGCCUGUUAUGCCAGUUAAAUCUUUGUGGUUUAGUGAAAAACAAAAUAAUUAUGUAUUAAAUAAUAAUUCCCCACUGCAUUGAAAUGCUACUUUUGUUAUAUUAAGUUAUUAUAUAUACUCACAUAUAUUUUAUAUUCUAAUCUGUCAUUCUUAUGCCAAUGACAUAUUGGUUUGGUCAUAGUAUUUUUGUAGUAUGUUUUAAUUUGGGGGAUUUUAGGCAGGCAAUAUAUAACACUAUUUCUGGGAUAAAAACAAUAAUUAUGUAUUAAAUAAUAAUUCCCCACUGUAUUGAAAUGCUACUUUUGUUAAAUUAUUAUCUAUACUCACAUAUAUUUUAUAUUCUAAUCUGUCAUUCUUAUGCCAAUGACAUAUCGAUCUGGUCAUAGUGUUUUUGUAGUAUGUUUUAAUUUGGGCGGUUUUAGGCAGGCAAUAUAUAACACUAUUUCUGGGAUGAGGUCAUGAAGAGUGCCUCUUUUAUUCUGUUUCCCUUUCCAUGACAUUCACUGCUGGGAGGCUCUGUGUUGAAAUUGUGGAGACACAAGAUGAAAGCAAUUGGAUCCCUGCGUCACUUUAUGGAGGAGAGUUUCUUCCCUGGAGCUUUGCCUGAUUACAUCAUCUUUGUGUGAGUGAUAAACAACCCUUUGUUUUUUACUUCAGCAUAGCCUAUCCUGUCCCAACUAAUCAUUGGUGCUGCUGUGUCAAAAAGCCAAAAUAUACAGCAUUAGCUUAGUGGCUGGUGGUGUGUGCCAAGGACACUGCUACUGGAGGCUGGGGCAUGACAAUCUGUACUAUUAAUGGUAACACACUUGUUAAAUGGCACACUUGCAUUAAGAAGGCUAAGAAAGAAGGCUAUUGUAAGCGUAUCUUGGCUGUUGAUUUUAUUCAACAAAGUCUUACAAGAAAUAAGUGUCUAGUUUGUGAGCAGCAAUAAAGGAAAUAGAGAAAUUCCAGAAAGUUAGGGCUUUGCAAAAUUAAAAAGCCGACUGCUUCCAGAUGCCAACUAACUUGAAACAGGAUUGACAACACCAUUGAGCAACAAAGGCCCAAACUACCUCAGGGCAAAAGGCAGAUUAAAAAGAUCCAGAUAGACUCAAGGUAAGUGCCAUGAUAUUGUGUGUGUGAGAGAGAUGGGGGAGCAAAGAAGGUAAAUAAGUUGAGAUCUACCUCUCAAAAAGAACUUUUCAGGGAGUUAUGGUACAGGGAACUCUUUGGAAACAAAUCAAAAGCAGACUAAGUUUUUAAGGACAUGGUAUUACAAAAGAAACCCACAGUUUGAACUAAAAAAGGCUUGGACUAUUCAUGACUUAAAACAAGCUGUAGCUCCCCAAUUUUCCAUGGGCCAACAGCAGCUGAGUUUCACAGUCCAAACACAGCAUAUUCUUCCACGUCCAUUUGAGAUGUGGCCAAGGAGGGUGAUGGAAUGACAAAAGGGCCAGGGAGAACAAGGAACAAGGGACUUCUUCCUGGAGAAGCUUAAUGAAGAAAUCUUCUCUAACGAGGGUAGGAGUUUUCACAAUGUCUACUCAGAAGGAUUUCAGAAUUGUUACCCCUACUUUUCUUCAUUCUCUCCACUUAAAACUAAAAGUGUUUACUGCAGUUGUCCUAACCCCACUCCAUCAUUGAAUAUUGGGUCUGUAUAGGAGGAAAGGAAUAUGUCUCUUCUAGUUUAUAAAUCUCCAGACCAAGAAGAAGCAGGUAUAGACCUGAUGGAGAGCACUACGCGGUUCACUUGAAGACCCUCAAUUUCUUUUUCUUUCUUUCUUUCUUUUUUUUUUCUUUUUUUUUAUUUUUUAUUUUUAGAGUCAGGGUUUCACCAUAUUGGUGUAUUGGUGACUGGCCUCAAACUCCUGGCCUCAGGUGAUCCACCCGCCUUGGUCUCCCAAAGUGUUGGGAUUACAGACGUGAGCCACUGCACCCAGCCUAAGAAGAUUUCAGAAUUGUUACCCCUAUCUGUCUUCAUUCUCUCCAUUUAAAACUAAAAGUGUUUACUGCAGUUGUCCUAACCCCACUCCAUCAUUGAAUAUUGGGUCUGUAUAGGAGGAAAGGAAUAUGUCUCUUCUAGUUUAUAAAUCUCCAGACCAAGAAGAAGCAGGUAUAGACCUGAUGGAGAGCACUAGGCGUUCACUUGAAGACCCUCAAUUUCUUUUUCUUUCUUUCUUUCUUUUUUUUUUUUUUUAGAGACAGGGUUUCACCAUAUUGGUGUAUUGGUGACUGGCCUCAGACUCCUUACCUCAGGUGAUCCACCCGCCUUGGUCUCCCAAAGUGUUGGGAUUACAGACGUGAGCCACUGCUCCUAGCCUAAGAAAACUCUCAAUUUCAAGCUGGAUUUGCUGACUUAUGGGAGUGGGGUUUUCUCUCUUGAGAAAGCGAGAGUAUGUUCUACAUAUGGGGAAAACAAUGACCAGAGGGGCAUGCAGGAAGAUUACACUUCCUACUUCCUGGUAGUUAGGUGGGGCCAUGUGACUAAUUCUAGCAAAUGAAAUGUGAGUGGAAGUGUCAUGUACCACUUCUGGCCAAAGUUUAAAAGUUGAUGUGUUUCCCUAACACUCUGUCUUUCGUCAUGGUGACCUUGGAGGCCACCAGUGAGGUGAUGGUGGACAGGAUGAAGGAUGCCUAGAACUAAAGGGGUUUUCACUAACCCACGUUAGAUUUUGCAUGAAUGAGAUAACAUAUUGCUUUCUCUCUCUCUCUCUCUCUCUUUUUUUUUUUUUUUUUUUUUUUUUUUUGAGAUGGAGCUGCGUUCUUGUUCACCAGGCUGAAGUGCUAUGUGCCUCACCGCAACCUCUGCCGCCCGGGUUCAAGUGAUUCUCCUGCCUCAGCCUCCUGAGUAGCUGGUACUACAGGCAUGCACCACCAUGCCUGGCUAAUUUUUUAUUUUAGUAGAGAUGGGGUUUCUCCAUGUUGGUCAGGCUGGUCUCAAACUCAUGACGUCAGGUGAUCUGCCCGCCUCAGCCUCCCAAACUGCUGGGAUUACGUAUUUCUUAAUGUUUAGCUACUGGGAAUAAUUUAUGUUAGAUUAUUUUAGGUUUUCUACCUAUACAAUCAUAUCAUCUGUGAAAGGUAAUGUUUGAAAAUUUCUUCCUUUUUGAUCCUUACACCUUUUGUUUCUUGUCUGCGUCUUGCUGUACUGCCUGGGACUUCGUAGUCAAUGUUGGGUAGAAGCGAUGACAGCUGGGACCAUGGGCUUGCUUCUUACAGGAAAGGAAAGCUUUCCAUAUUUCAGGCUGGAGUGCAAUGCGGCUCACCGCAACCUCUGCCUCCCGGGUUCAAGCGAUUCUCCUGCCCCAGCCUCCCGAGUAGCUGGGACUACAGGCAUGUGCCACCCUGUGCCACCCUGUGAAGAGGUGCCUUCUGCCAUGAUUGUAAGUUUCCUGAGGCCUCCCCAGCCAAGUGGAACUGUGAGUCAUUAAACCUCUUUUCUUUAUAAGUUACCCAGUUUUAAGUAUGUCUUAUAGUAGUGUGAGAAUGCACUAAUGAGCUGACAUUUCUGUUCAUAUACCUGAUUAGGUCAUGCUGAAUUCUGUUUAUUGUCUUUUAAUCGGGAUUUUUGCGUCUAUGCUGACGAGUGAGACUGACUUUGUCAGGUUUUAGUAUCAGGGUAAUUCUAGUCUCAAAAAUGAAUUGAGGCCAUUUUAUGCUCUUUAAUAUUCAUUUUCUAUUCUCUAGAAGAGCUUGUAUAUGAUUGGCAUGGUUUCUAGAAGAGCUUAUGAUUGGCAUGGUCUCUUCCUUAAAUGUUUGGUUGAAUUUGUAGGCCUGGGUUUUUUUUUUCCUUUUUACUUUUAUUUUACUUUAAGU